GACCCGAAUCUCACUGACACUUAGCUCGGGAAGCCCUGGGGGCCGGACUGUUGUUUUGUUCUGGCUCCACAGAAACUGUCUCAGGCAAAGACUUCGAUGUCCCAGGAAAGGUGCCCUGGCCGGAGGACCGAGCCAGGAAGGGAGAGCACCCGGUAUCCCAGAGAGUGAGGGAGAGAGGCGGGAAGGUGCACAAGCAGCGCCAGAAGGGAAUGUCACACCUGGAAAGAGCAAAUCCCCAGAGCAACCAGGAGGAGGCGCCCUACCUGUAAUUAUCCUGACAACCGCUGAUUAUUUGUAACAAAAAUCAGAACCCCCGCUACGCACACUGACCUGCCAGACGUGUGUAACGGUGGCAACAUCAAAAAAGAAACCCGGCAGCCACCAGAUGCAAAACAGGAUCCUGGAGACAGAGUCAGAACAUCCAGAAAACCCACCACUGAAAGCAGCAGAGAUCCCAAUUCCAGGGAUCCUGCCCCGUGAGAACACAAGCCAGAAUCAGCUCCAGAGGCUGACUGCUAAAUUGCAGGGGAAAACGCAGAGCUAAUGGAAAACCUACAGGUUUCCGGUAUCCGGUCCAGCUGUGAGAAACAGCUGUAGGGUGAUAAAGGGGAAUCAGCUAUUUCACUGUGCAACAUCGCAUGUGAGAAAGGAGAAGAAAGAUCAUCUUUUGAAGAGACCCCAGCCGAUAGGACCGGAAGCAGGAACUGCUGCAGUGAGAGGAGGAGAAUAACUGCAGAAUAAGAG
Mauremys mutica (yellowpond turtle) is the source of this 744-nucleotide long non-coding RNA. RefSeq lists it as uncharacterized. Lineage: Eukaryota; Metazoa; Chordata; Testudines; Geoemydidae. The record is from RefSeq and is a predicted model, not a curated record. The transcript is spliced from 3 exons.